RNAcentral lists this ribosomal RNA (323 nucleotides) under uncultured Chloroflexota bacterium. Its description in RNAcentral is "bacterial SSU rRNA". It matches the Rfam family "Bacterial small subunit ribosomal RNA", at positions 28 to 351 of the family's 1533-position model. The record is from RNAcentral. Lineage: Bacteria; Bacillati; Chloroflexota.
GAUGAACGCUGGCGGCGUGCUUAAUACAUGCAAGUCGAACGAAGUCAGUAGCAAUAUUGAUUGAGUGGCGAACGGGUGAGUAACGCGUUGGUGACCUGCCCCGAAGAGAGGGAUAACAGUUCGAAAGGAUUGCUAAUACCCCAUGUGGUCAUUUGGAUUAGAUGCCUUAUGACUAAACGGAUUUAUUCGCUUCGGGAGGGGCCUGCGUCCCAUCAGCUAGUUGGUAGGGUUGUGGCCUACCAAGGCGACGACGGGUAGGGGACCUGAGAGGGUGGCCCCCCACACUGGCACUGAAACACGGGCCAGACACCUACGGGAGGCUG